GGCUUAGGGUUUUGAGGAUGUUGGAGAAGUUGUUGCUGGACAUAUCAAAGGCCCUUUUGAGAGUGGACAUGAGAUGGGGAGGGAGGCCAUUGGUGGUAUGGUAGUGAGGUGGGAGUUCAGGCAAGUCAUCAUGUGGAAGAUGGAGUUCCACAAAUUCAAUGCAAUGAGAAUAUUUUUGGGAGAGUUUAGGCUUGAUGGAGCUGAGAUUUACAGGCGUGGAACAAAUAAAGAUGUGAAAAUUUCUCUUGGUGGUCAGCUUCUUGGCUAGCUCUAGGUAGGGAGAUAUAUGGCCGUGAGCUAGCCAUGGAAGCAUAAGAAUAGUAAGUUUUCUUUGGUCAGAGUAAACCAUAUUUUGUUUUCCUUUCACUCUUUUGCUUGAGGUUGCUCGAUUAUAGGCUUAUUGGUAGUUUUUUUGUAGCUAGCUCUAUGCAUAUAUAUAUAUAUAUACACACACAUUCAUGGGAAAAGAGGCUUGGGGAUGGGAAAUCAAUUGAUUUCCUAUGUUUGGUAAAGUUCGGGUAUGAGAAAUCGUUGCUUUGCACAUGAGAAAGUAGAGGGGAAAGUGAAGCCCUCCUCCUUCCUUAGGUUUUGUUUUCCUCCUCAUGGGAAAGUUUGGGAAAAUGAGCUAAUAUUAAAUACAUAUUUUUCAUGACCAUAUUAUCCCCAUUAAUAAUUUAGAAUUACAUAAAUGCAUUCUAUUUUUAUUUGAUUUCAUAUGGGUAUAAUUGAAAAAUUAAACAAAUUUUGUUUUACAUUCCUACACAAACCAAACAUGUGAAAGGAAAUAAAGUGGUAUUUCUUGGUUACUUUCCCAAGAUUACCAAACAUAGGAAAGGAAUCUCUAUUUCCCAUCCCUUAGAAAAUGACUUGGAAAGUAAUUUCUCCUCAAAUUCGUUCCGUGAACCAAACGGAACCUGCAUAAUAGAAGUUCCAAAAAAACACGUGAUGAUUGGAUCAUGCAUAUGUAAGUUCCCGAGUGAUGAUUGGAACAAGUUCCUAAUGAUAAAGACUCGAAACAAGAAUAGUUUAAACUUUCUUCUUUGUUUGGCUUGAUAUAAGACGAAUGCACCAAACAAACCGACUAAUUGCUGGCACAAUAUAAAUUGGGGCUACAAUUACCUAAUAAUUAGGUACUAAGGGCUACAAUUACCUAAUAAUAUCAACUUUCAUUAUACAGAUUUGAGAAACAAAAAGUUCAACUUUGAUGACAAGCGAUAUUAAAGGAGGGCGUAAUCAAACUUAGGAUCUUGAGUGUAGAAAUAAAUACUUUUAACAACUUGAGCUACAAGCCUUUUGUAAUAUUAAUGAUAUUUUAAUUAUACGUUUGAAUAGUUCGCUUCCUUCUCUUUUAUUUUCAUUUGUUUAUAUUUAACUCUAAUUUUAUUUAUAUUUUUGGUCAAGGUAAAAAGACUUUGAAUCUCUCUCCAAUGAUUUUCACAGCCGAAACUCCUUUAGUUUCCACAAAUAUUUUUUAAUAUUUCAUGCAUUUGUAAGUUUCCGACUCGGAUGGUUCAUGUAACCAAGAAGUUUAAACUUGUUUUUGCUUGUUCCGCCGACGAAAGCGCAACAAAAGGACAAACUACAACCAAUACUUCUAGUAUCACCAGUUCUCAUUGAAUUUGUUGCCGUGAAUGUUUAGGAUUCUGCCCAAACUAGUAUUUGCGUUUCUGAAUUGUUUGAAAACACAUAUGAAAUUAUGAUUUCUCCUCCCCAGAAGACAAAUUGACGAAGAAGUAUCAUGAUUUUGAUGACACAAAUUAGAAUCCAGGGUUUUCGAAGUGCCUAAUGGACAACUAUUAAUUUAGAAAUAUAUAUAUUUUUUUCGCAAUGCAGAAACACAUAAAUCCCAAGUUUGAAUUCAUCCUAUUUUUGUUUUUGUUUUUUCCUUUUUUAACCCAGAAGAAAAAUUGAGUGCCACUCUGCUAUGUAGAAUGCAAGUUUUAGUUUAGAUUUUUUUUUCUUUUUAGUCUCUUAUUCUACAUUUAGAUCUCAUAUAUUUACUCGCAUUUUAUUAAAUCUAAGUCAUUCAAACAAUCUGACCACUUAACAAAUUACAAGUACUCAAACUUAAAAUCAGAUUGGAUGGACAUGAGGCUUACACUGAUGAUUCUACACGUGCUGAGAAUAGUCCUUUUAUUUCUUUAUUAUUUUCUUGGUCGGGACUCGAGAGACAGGUGUAGUGUAGCGAUGGAGACGAGGCCCGCAAGACAUAAAAGUCUGAAGAAGAGAAGCGUGAAAGCUUCAUUUAGACAGUUAAGUGCAUACGUAACGUAAAGAUUCAAAGACUAUGUCCCUCUCCAAACAGGGAAAGAUCUGAGUUGAAAGCAACAAACUACAGUCACAAUAGGAAAGCAUCUACAACGUAAAGAAAAUAAGUUUACCAGAAGCAUCGGAAAGAUCUAGAGUCUGAAGAAGAGAUACUGAAGUAAUUGUUCAUCGACUGAGCUUAAAUGAAAUAUUAACUCUUUGUUGUGCCAUAAGCACAAGAUCUUAAGAAAAAAAUUCAAGAUAAACCAUAUAAUAUUUUCUAACCCACAAAAUAAUAUAGAAAAUAAAUGCAAGAACAAGAGAAUAGCAAGACACAACGAGGCUGCUUACAAUCAGUGUAAAUGAGCAAACAAAUUCACCAUCAACAAAUUAGCAUGCUUAUGAAGUGUUUUGCAACCUCACAAACCAAGGCGCCAUAUACACCAAAUGACUCUCACUGAAAAACUAAACAAAGAAACACACUCACACUAAUGAAAGCAACGUUACAAGGUAGGAGAUUGAAUAUUACAUUUACAAUACACUCAUAAGUUACAAAAACUAAUUACAAAUAUUUAGCGCAUAGGUUACAUAGAACUGAAAGGGUGGAAUGAUAAGAGCUAUGGUGGUCAUCCACCAACUCAUGCAUUUACAACACCGCCUCUUGAAUGUCCACCAUACAAUACAAUGAUAUAGUUGCGUCAUUAAACACUUUGCUUGAAAAACUAUAUGGGACAAAACUUAGGCUACGGGAAAAAGAGUGCAACACAAAUAAUAUUGAUAUCACAUUUGUCUCUCCUACGGAAUGAGCUUUGGUGAUGUUUGUAUAAAAAUUGCGUACAAACCAUUAUUGGAAGAUUGGGCUAGAGUGGGCUUUACCCUAGUGUUGACUUUGGAAAGAGACAAAUUAGGCUUAGUUGUGUAAAUUCAAUCCAAAAAAAAAUUAAAUAAUAGCCCACAUCUACAGCCAAAUACUUUAAUACUUUAAUUACUAAAGUUUUUUUUUCUUUCUCUCUCUUCUUUGGUUUAUUCAGCUUUUGAUUUGGCUCAAAUAAUGUUUAUAUCUCUCUUUGAUUUUGUUUUUUCAAAUUUAUUGAUGUUGCUUCUUUUGAAAAUUUUGAAAUAUGGACCCUCCCUAACUAAACCACUCCAUUGAGCAAAAGCCCUUGAGCUUCAAAUUUAUCUUCGUCUGAGCCUCUGAAUUUUGGUUUUUUUUAGGUUUUUUUUGUUUGUUGUAGGUUUCUUUGUUCACAUAUCUCUCUAAAAAUAGUAUUUUUCUUAAUGAAUUCUGAAAAUAGUUUUUAAUUUGAAGGAAAUAUACGGAAUUAGUAAAAAAGUAUACCACUUUCAUUAAUCUGAAGGAAAUAUUGCUUUAUAUAUAUUUGUUUAAAAAUAGGGCUUAUAAUUGAUCUCAAAAAAAAAAAAAAAACAAAUAGCCCACCCCUGUAAAUAUUCCUUAGUCCGCCAUUGCAUGGCAUAAUAUUUGGUAUGCUAUGCUAGCAUCUCAUAAGCUCUUCAAGAGACCUGAAUUUUAUGAUAACUUCUUAAAAAAUUUGAAUACAUUUCAACGAUAUUAAACUUGAAUUUGAACUCAUAAUUCAAUCAAAGUACUCAUUGAGGCAAUUUAGAUCAUUUUCAUUUUAAAAAAAUUGGGUGCACACAUUGAGCUUCAUGCUCUUUACCUUCUUAGAGAUUUUAUUUGAGGAAUUUAUAUUGCAUCACAUAUUACAUCUCUUAGGAUUUGUUCUUAUUAUGUAUUCUUUAAGAGAUCUAUUCUUGCAAUAUGCUUCAAACACUUCAUAAUCUUUAUGAAUUUUUCAUGUAGAUUUAAGGUCUCCAUGAAUAUUGAGAUUGAAACAAGGAGUAAAAGAGUUAAAAGUUUAAGAAAUUUUUUCCCUGAUUAUUUUGUAAUUAUAAUGUUGGUGAAAAUCCAAUUUCCUUUCUAGAAUUUGUGAAAUUUGUUAUUUGGCUAAGCUAAAAGUAUAAUUUUGACAAUAAAAAGCAUAUGAAAGUUUCUCUUUGGUUGGCUUCUUGGCUAGCUCUAGGAACGGACAGUGUGGCCAUGAGAUAACCAUGGAAGUAUAAUAAGAAUGCUUGGAUGCUGUGAACAAUCCAUUUUCUGACUCUUUUUCUUGAGGUGGUUGUUUUCUUAUGGCCCAUCAGAGUUUAUGGUCGACAGAUAAGCUUCAAACACAUGCAUUGGUCGUGUCAGUUGCGAUAAACUCUUCCCAACAAUCAACAAUUUCUAAGGUAAUAUCAUCAUUCAAUCAUGUGCUGAAUUUAGAAUUGUUUUCAAAUCAAGGAUUUGUUUUGGAACUCAGAUUUUAAAACAAUUAAAAUUUAAUUGGGAAGACUUUUUGUUUAAAGGAAGUUCGUUUCAAUUCAAAAAAUAAUUUUUCAGUUUUUCAACUCAAAAGUCUUCUCAGUUUUCUUAUUUUUCUUAUUGGCGAGUUUCUUGGUUAACUCUAGGAAGGGAGAUAUGUGGCCAUGAGCUAACCAUGGAAGCAUAAGAACGCUGACCAUGCUUGGAUUUUGAGAAGACUUCCUCUUUUUUUUUUCCCUGACUCUUCUUCUUGAGGCGGUGGUUGGCUUAUGGCCUCAUAAUAGUUUGGUGUUUUUGGAGAUCAUAUGGUGAUGAUCUGAUGGAGAUGAGUCAUAGUUUGUGCUAGUGCAUACGUAAUUCCAAUUUCCUGAUUCAGAUGGGAUAAACUCUUCCAACAAAUUAAGACUCUUAUCAUGCAUACACAUAAGAAGUGGAAAUUUGCUUCUGUCUUAGUUUGGCCUUGAUAUAGGACAGCUCAUAGGAAAGCAUCCAAAACAAUAUUCUUUUUAUUUUUUUUAUUUGAAUACAAGCGAUAUUAGGAGUGUGGGGAUUUGAACACAUGAUUUAGGGUACAGGGUAAUGCUCUUAACUAUAUGAGUUACAAGUCCCUUGCAAACAGUCUGAAAUACUAAAAAUAAAAAAUAGAUGCUCAUCCAUAUGCACUGUCAUGCCCCAACCCUUGGAUUUACAAAACCUUGUGUUAAGACGUGAUUCACACCUUAAUUAUAGAAUUUAAUAAAAACUAUAACUAAAAUGUGAAGAAAACAUUUAAAUAAAUAAAAUAAAUAUUUCACAUAGAAUAUUCAGUGGAAAUGACAACAUGUGAAAUCUUAAAAAUUUUACAUUAUCUUACAAGUUGGCGUGACUUGUGGAUAUUGACUUACUUUCCUUACACACCAAGAAUUCCUAUUAUAAUUGUAAUUGAUUUACUUUAAUUCAUGAUUUCCUACUGUAAAUAGAUUUAAGAAUUUAUUAUUUACUUGCCCAUUCAGGUUUCGUUGUAUUAUAAAUAUGACCUCCUACAAGGAGAAGAACAUACAGAAAAUUCCCACAAACAAAUAUUCUCUCAUAGUUUUCAUAUUUUAGCAUGGUAUCAGAGCGGCAAUCUUGGAAUUGCUGACUCUAGUUUCAAACCCCCGCCGCCGCUAUGGGGGUUGAUGAUUUUUUCAACCAUCAUGGAGGUAGCACCAUCGACUCCUUCUCUCAUUCUCAACUAACCAUCGUUGAGUUGAGUGCCCAGAUGGCUCCGCUCCUACAGAUGCAGACUUUGACCCCAAACCCGAUCCAGAAUCAGGAUCUUCUUUCGACAACCACGACCCCGAUCUCGACUAUGACAACGACGACCCCGACCCCUACUCUGAAGAUGACCCCGACCCCCACUCCGAUGACCCCAACCCCGAAUUUGUCUCUGAUUCAGAACCCGAUCCCGAUUUCGACUCCGACUCCGGCCUCGACUCAGGCUCAGAUUUCGAUCCAAAUUCCUACUCAACUUAUAUCCUAUGCAUCUUCCGCUGCACAGAUUAUGACUUCUAGACUAACGACCCCGACAUAUGGACCAGAUUGCACAUAUUGUGGUGAUCCGAGACACACUUGUGAGACUUGUUUUAAAUCGCAUGGCUACCCCGAUUGGUGGGCUAUUCUUACAGAUCAAGGACAAUGCACCAGUAAUGGUACUGGUUAUGGAUUCCAUACUUCCGAUAAGAUUGAUUCCAGGAGCUGGAUAAUUGAUUCUGGUGCAACUGAUCAUAUGACGUUUGAUCCUGAUGAUUUUCUGAAUACUACACAACCUCGACGAACUUGUAUUGCAAAUGCCAAUGGUGUUACUUAUCCUGUGACAGGGGCUGGCACUGUUGCACUCUCAUCCUCUCUCACACUGUCUAAUACUUUACUUGUUCCAUUUUUAUCCACUAAAUUGUUGUUAGUUAGUCAGCUUACUAAACAAUUGAAGUGUUGUGUACUCAUUUACCUGAGUUUUUGUUUGCUUCAGGAUAUUCACACUAAGGAGAUUCUUGGUCGUGGUACUAAGAGAGGGGGGCUAUAUUAUGUCGAUGACUUCAGUUCCGGCGUGCCUAACAGUGUGACACAUCCCUUUGAUAGCAAACAAAAGCAAAUUUGGUUGUGGCACCUUCGAUUGGGACAUCCGUCUUUCAGUUAUAUGAAGCAUCUUAUACCAGAUUUAUUCUUAGGUUUCAAGGACUCCGACUUCACAUGUGAUACUUGUAUUUUGGCUAACAGUCACCGUGUGCCCUACCUGUUGAGUACGAACAAGUGUACUUGUAAGAUCCCACAUCAACCAACGGAGAGGGGGUGAUGUGCCUUAUAUAUGCACACCUGCAUCCAUCUAGCACGAGGCCUUUUGGGAGCUCACUGGCUUCGGAGUCGUAGGAACUCCGAAGUUAAGCGAGUUGGGGGCUAGAGCAAUCCCAGGAUGGGUGAUCCACUGGGAAGUUGCUCGUGAGCUCCUAGAAACAAAACCGUGAGGGCAGAGAGAGGGGCCCAAAGCGGACAAUAUCGUGCUACGGCGGAGUUGAUCCCGAGAUGUGACAAUUUGGUAUCAGAGCCACUCUGCCGUGUGGUGCGAAUGUGCCGACGAGGACUUCGGGCCCUUAAGGGGGGUGGAUUGUAAGAUCCCACAUCAACCAACGGAGAGGGGGUGAUGUGCCUUAUAUAUGCACACCUGCAUCCAUCUAGCAUGAGACCUUUUGGGAGCUCACUGGCUUCGGAGUUGUAGGAACUCCGACGUUAAGCGAGUUGGGGGCUAGAGCAAUCCCAGGAUGGGUGACCCACUGGGAAGUUGCUCGUGAGUUCCCAGAAACAAAACCGUGAGGGCCAGAGAGGGGGGCCCAAAGCUGAUAAUAUCGUGCUACGGCGGAGCCGAUCCCGGGAUGUGACAAUUGUACUACUCCAUUUACGUUAAUUCACUCUGAUGUCUUGGGACCUUCGCCUAUCACUGCUCCUUCUGGUGUUCGAUGGUUUGUCACAUUCAUCGAUGAUUGUAUACAGAUGACAUGGCUUUAUUUGCUGAAGAAUAAAAACGAAGUGUUUUCCCGUUUUCAGUCCUUCCACAAACAGAUGAAAACUCAGUUUAAUGCUCAAAUCCAGAUUCUUCGCUCAGACAAUGGUGGAGAAUUUGUCAAUCAUGACUUUCAGACUUACUUCCAACAACAUGGAAUUAUCCAUGAGACGACUUGUCCUCAGACACCACAACAAAAUUGUGUUGUUGAACGAAAGAAUUGACAUCUUCUUGAAACCGCCCAAGCACUUCUGAUUGGCGCUCAUGUUCCUCGCUAUCACUGGGAUGAUGCUAUUGUCACCGCAGUUCACCUGAUCAACCGCAUGCCUUCUGGUGUAUUGACCUUUAAAACUCCCUUACAGGUGCUUGCGCAACACAGACCUCUGCUCUCUGUUUUGGUACUCACACCCCGAAUCUUUGGAUGUGUGGCUUUCGUUCAUCUCCACAAAAAUCAACGUAGCAAACUUGAUCCCUGUGCGCUUCGUUGUGUUUUUAUAGGUUAUGCCACUCAUCAGAAAGGCUACCGUUGUUAUCACCCUCCUACCCAACGAACCUAUGUCACUUUGGAUGUGACCUUUCUGGAAUCUGAGUUGUUCUUCCAUGACCCAUCAUCCAAUUCUACGCAUCAGGGGGGGAUACGAAGUGAAGAGCAGAAUUGAAGCAACUUGGGAAAUAAAGAAAUUUUCCUCUGUACAGAAAUGAUUAAUCAUCCUGAGUCUGGAGCACGAGAUUACUCUCUGUCGAAAAGCAACCAAUCGCCCAUUCAUAGCGAUCAAUUGCCUCACCUACCUGAUCCAUGUGAAGAUAUUUUUGAUCCGAGUCUCACACCUACAGACAAUACAGAACAACAAGAUGAAGACUCCCCCUCUAACUCAACAGUACCAACAGACCAAUCUCCUGAGAAUAUCCUUGAGGUAACUACUCCUACUAGAUUUGUGCAUUUAAAUGAUUAAACUAUUGGAUAUCAAUUACCUUUCAGGGAAAAUCGUGGGAAGCCAUCAAACCGUUAUGCACCUGAUAUUGGCAAGACAUCCAAGUAUCCAAUUGCAAAUCAUGUAUCCACUGAGAAGCUGUCUGAACAACUCAAGGCUUUUGUGCAUCAGUUGUCUGCGAUCCAUAUUCCAACCAAGGUCUCUGAAGCAUUAAAAUAUCCUAAGUGGGUCCAAGCUAUAAAAGAGGAGAUGAAAGCUCUUGAGAAAAAUCAGACUUGGACAUUAGAGACUAUACCUCGAGGAAAAAAGACUAUCAGAUGUAGAUGGGUGUUUACUAUAAAACACAAUGUAGAUGGAUCUAUCGAGCAAUACAAGGCAAGACUUGUGGAAAAAGGGUACACACAGACAUAUGGUAUAGACUAUGAAGAAACCUUUGCUCCAGUUGCAAAGUCAAACACCAUCAGAGUCUUAUUGUCCCUUGCAGCUAAUUUGGAUUGGCCACUACACCAGUUUGAUGUAAAGAAUGCUUUUCUACAUGGCGUACUCACGGAGGAGGUGUACAUUUACAUUCCUCCUGGAUAUAAUACUACUUAGACUGGAACAGUUUGCAGGUUACGAAAAGCAUUGUAUGGAUUGAAACAGUCACCACGUGCAUGGUUUGGACAGUUCACCAUGGCAAUGAAGAACAAUGGUUCAAACAGUGCAACUCAGAUCAUACUCUACUCUUGAAACAUCGAAAAGGGAAGGUAACAACAUUAAUAAUCUAUGUUGAUGAUAUGAUUAUUACUGGGAAUGAUAAACAGGAAAUAUCACAGCUACAAGACUAUCUGGCUACGGAGUUUGAGAUGAUGGAUCUAGGUGGACUCAAGUAUUUCUUGGGAAUUGAGGUGGCUCGAUCCCAGCAAGGCAUAUUUCUCUCUCAAAGGAAAUAUGUCUUGGACUUGUUGACAGACACAUGAAUGCUAGAUUGUAAACCUGCGAACACUCAUAUUGUUCAGAAUCAUCAUCUUGGAGAAUAUCAUGAUCAAGUUCCAACUAACAAAGAAAGAUACCAAAGGUUAGUAGGAAGAUUGAUCUAUUUGUCACAUACUUGACCAAACAUUACUUAUGCAAUGAGCGUUGUCAGUCAAUUUAUGCACUCUCCAAGUGAAGACCACACGAAUGCAGUUCUUCGGAUACUUAGAUAUUUGAAGUCUGCACCUGAAAAAGGACUUAUUUUCUGAAAGCAUGGUCAUAUAAAUAUUGAUGGUUAUUCAGAUGUAAUGUAACAGAUAGAAAAUCCACAUCCGGUUACUUAACAUUCAUGGGAGGUAAUUUGGUGACAUGGAGGAGCAAGAAACAGAAUGUAGUAGCUUUAUCCAGUGCAGAAGCCGAGUUCAGAGGCAUGACUAAAGGAAUUUGUGAACUUCUUUGGUUAAGAAAGUUGCUUACUGAACUUGGGUAUAAACCUACAUCCACAAUGAUUCUCUUUUGUGACAACAAGGCUGUUAUAGCCAUUGCACAGAAUCCGGUUCAGCAUGAUCGUACUAAACAUGUUGAGGAGGAUCGACACUUCAUCAAACAGAAGCUUGAGGCUAAAAUGUUUCAGUUUUCUUUUGUGAAAUCCGAGGAUCAAUUGGCGGAUAUUUUGACAAAGGUGAUUUCCAGUAAAACAUUCCACAAUUCACUGGAUCAGUUAGGCAUUGGCGAUAUCUAUGCACCAACGUGAGGGGAAGUGUUGGCGUGACUUGUGGAUAUUGACUUACUUUCCUUACACACCAAGAAUUCCUAUUAUAAUUGUAAUUGAUUUACUUUAAUUCCUGAUUUCCUAUUGUAAAUAGAUUUAGGAAUUUAUUAUUUACUUGCCCAUUCAGGUUUCGUUGUAUUAUAAAUAUGACCUCCUACAAGGAGAAUAACAUACAGAAAAUUCCCACAAACAAAUAUUCUCUUAUAGUUUUCAUAUUUUAGCAAGAACUACUCGAGAGUUUACUAAAAGAGUAGUUCAGUAUUCAUCCACAAGCUAUAUACACAAUACACUCUAUAGAUAUGCCAAAAUCAUCGCAAGCUCUAGAUUUUAGGUUCGAUACCUGCAAAAUCUAUUAGAAGGGUGAGUGAAACCACAGUUUAGUAGGGACAUAAACCUUUUCACGGUAAACUGAUAUAAUUAAAUUAAGUGAAAAAUAAUCACACAGCCAAAUAUCACAUUAUUAAUAACAAUGCAUGAAUGCUCUUCAUUUAACCCGUUAAUUCAUAUAAUUAGACAAGCUUCACGACCCAUACCAUGCUUAUACCACUUAGUCCCGAAUGCCAAUUUAUAUGAAUUAACGCCCAUUUCAAUCAUCCCAUAAUUCCCAUUUUGUUAGUCAUCUUGUCUAACUCCCUGUUGCCAGUCCUGAAUCACCAAAAAAAAAAAACCAUGUGCACUAUGGGAUCCCUGAGUACUAGUACCUGGCAAGAGUUAGACUCAACUACACAAAAGAUCAUUUCUAUUACCCUCUUAUCCACCAUUAUUUUCUCAACUUCAGAAUUCUAGCCAAAUUCCAUGACAUGAUAUAAUUAAAAUUAUGCCUUCACAACAAUGUGCCCAUUUAAAACAUCACUAAUGCACAUAUAAUUAUGCCCACAUUGUUCAAAUAGUUAAGAGUACGUAAAUACCCAAUACAUGGAACGUCAAUCAAACAGUACCACGCAUAAUAUAAUGCUCAAGAAAUUUAAUUAAAUCAAUCUCUGUAAAAGGCCCCUAAGAAACCCCUGCCUUGAUACUAAAGCUUUUGCUAGACCUAUAAGGUGUUUUCCAAUUUUCCACCGCAUUCACAAACUCUGUCUUCUACUUUUUUUCUUACUUCUCUCUACCACUAUUUCUUUCUCGUUUUCUUUGUUUUCACUUGUUGUGCAACUUAAUGUCCUAUAUAUAUACAAGGAACAAGUCGGCAGUAAGUGAUUUCCUAUUGGAUGGUGUAUUCGGUUGUUAUAAACUUACUAGUAAUAGUUAUCAAUGUAGUUGCAGAUGAGGAAGAAUGUUUUUGUGACUCUUCCAAUCCCUCUAAUCCUAUUUCUUAUCUUCUUGGUGAGUUGAUAGCCUCGAUACUUAACAGAUUUUAUACUUUGACACGUAUUAACAAGAACUAUUUUAAAAACAUAUACAUAUAUAUAUAUAUAAUAGAAUAUGUAUAUAUGUAAUACACAUAUUUAUAUAUAAUAAGAAUAAUAUAUAUGUAAUAAGAUAUAAAUAUUUAUUAGAACAGUAUAUAAAAUAAUAUAUAUCAUUCUUAUUAUAACAAUAAUUUUAAUUUUCCCAAAAUAAUAUAUAUUUAAAAAUAUGUGGUUUCACAUGCAUGUCCUUUUUGCUAUAGACACUAUUACAAAAAUCGAAAUAGACAACGGAAAACUACCGUCGUCUGGAAAGUUUUCAAACAGUCGUGAAAUCGACUGUCGUCUCUUUUACAUAAAACAACGACGGCUAUUAACCAACGUCGUUAAUACAUUCCACGUAAAAAACUAUUAUAAACCGACGUGUAAUUACUAUAUAUAUAGCCUAAAAUAAAAUCUUCAACAACCUUAGACGACGGUUUUAUUAAAACUGACACGUCUAAAGAGUGUUACAUGUCAAGAUCAAAACAAGAACCGACGUACAGAUAAUUAUCCACGUCCUAAUUGAAGUAAAAUAGACUUGGAUAACCUAGAAACCGUCGUGGUUAACAUAUACUACGUUAAAUUAACAAAGGCACUUACGUCUAAAAAGUAAAAGACAACACGCGCACAAAGCAACAGACGUUUAAAGCUUAGUACAUGUCAAUAGCCGCUCAAUAACCGCAGUAAAAUGAAUUAACCACGUCCCACAUAUGGCAGAACUGUUGCUUAUGUGAUUAUCCACGUCGCGGAGUAGUAGAACAAAGACGUUGUAACCAUAUUCCACGUCUGUUUCUUGUGAGAAUUGUCGUUUAAAUUAUACAAAGAAGCCCCUUUGACAGAGUUAGACGUUGCUCUUGCUGUAGAACCGACUUCUAACAGGUUUAAAAUGACACAAUAUUACUUAAUACUGCCGUAACAAAUCAUAUCCACGACUGCUGUUGUCAAAGACUGACGUUACAAAAAAUAUUGAAGGUGUUGACAAAAAAGAACCGACAUGGAUUAUGCAUUCAACGUCGUGUGGUCUAAAAAUAAAGGACGUGGUUAAUUUUUUCUCUACGUCAAGUGGAUCCAAUUGCCUGAUGUUGUAAUUCUUUACCAUGUUGGUUUUUAAUACAUGAUGAUGUGGUUGUCCUUUUAAAAGUCGCUUGUUUUACCCUCCUUGACGUGUGUAUGAUAUGAGACGUCAAUUGUUUUAGACUAGCUGACGUGCAGAAAAUCUGUCACGACAAUUAAUGCAACUGAAUUGCCUCUAUUUCCCCCAGACGACGGUAGGUUUUAAGUGUGGAAGUAGUGUUUUACAAAAUCGUAAGUUGGAGUAAUCUACCAUCGUGUUAUUCGAGAAUAUACCACGAUCUUUGUUUUGUACUCGGUCGCUGAUGUUUAUACUACUUAAUAAACUGACAUGUUUUCAGUUUCAGACGGCGGCUUUUGUUUCUUUAUGGUCUUUUGCAUUUUUUUUCCAUGACAUUUUUGAAAGCCUAAUGUUGGUUUUAUUUUAGAAAUCGAUUUUUCCCCUUUUUUUACUGGACCGUCGUACUUUACACAUUUAAUCAAUUUUUUUCAAUUUUUGAUUCAUCGUGCCCAAAGCCUACAUAACGAAAAUGUGAUCAGAAUUAAAAUGAUGUACAAAGGUAUUAAUUAAUGUCAUACAAUUAACUGAAUAACUAAUGUCAUACACUACAACAAUCAAUCAAUCCAUAUAUCUUCACACCCAUCUUUAAUAUUUUCACUCCCAAACUCACCCACUAGGUCAUCAUAUGUGUCAACAUUUGGUAUCCCUCUAGUAAAUGUCUCACACUCAAUUCUAAUAUCACCUAGCACAUCAUCACCAAUAACAUUAUUAUAUUCUCUAUUAUGCAUUGAUAACACUACCGACCAACCACGAUGCAUUGGGUCGUCAGCAUAAAAUACUUGUUUUGGUCAUUCCUAUGUCCAAUUUUACUCAAAUCUACAAAGGUGAAUCCAAGUUCAUCGACAACAAGGCCCAAAGUGUUAUCUAUCCAAUCACACCUCAAGACAAGGAUUCUAAACUUUUGGUAGUCAAGGUCCCAAAUUUCUUGAAUAACACCAUAAAAACCCAUAUUGGAGACAAUAGAGUUUUUAUCCUUAGCACUAGCAACUUGCAUAGUAUGUGCAAGUAAAUAAACUCCACUAUUUUGGACAGUUCGCAUAUCAUCUUGUGCCUUGGUGUUAAAUUUAACACCAUUAAUAAGAUAGCUCCUAUAUGAUGGCAUUGCCAUGCUUGGACUAGCUGCUAGCCACCUCAAAUUUUAUGAUACGCCAUUAUGCUCUUCCCCAUUAAGUUCACUUUGAACUUGCAAAUUAAUCGUAUAUAUCCUAAUUCGAUCUAACAUAUAAAAAGGAAGAAAAUUAAAAGUUGAAUAUGUCAUUCAAUAACAUAUAUACUUGAAAGUGUAGCCAUUGAAUGAAAGUGCUAUUGUGCUUAUCUUGCAGCCACUUUGUUCUCUUUCUAAAUAUUGGAUAAGUGGUCUUGAUGUGGAUCAUAUGUUCCAUACAUUGACACGAAAAAAUCAAGCAUUACGGUCCCUUGUAUAUAAGAUAACAUAAGGAAUAAUAAUAUUUAAAAUGGCUCUAUAUGAAAAAUGGAACUCAUGCGUACUCGAUAUAAGGUAGGACUUCCUCAGUAUUCUCCAAGACAUAUAGAUGUGUCUGGUUCAAAAAACCCGAUCACCUAAGCUUACUGUGCAACCAGAUAAUGGCUUUGAAACUCCCAUCUUCUAGCUUGAAGGCACUCCAACUGUACUAACAUCAGAUAAAUGCUCGGUGCAAAACUCUACAACUUCUUCAGCUAUAUACCGCUCAAUAAUGCAACAUCCGGGACGAGUACGGUUCUGAACAAACCUAUUUAGCACUUUCAUAUGUCUUUCAAAUGGAUACAUCCAUCUAAAAUAUACUGGCCCAUGUAGACGAACUUCUCUGACAAGAUGUACUACUAGAUGAACCAUGAUAUCAAAGAAUGAAGGGGGAAAGUACUUCUCAAGCAAACGCAACGUAACUACUACAUCUUCUUCCAAAUUAUCUAGCUUGGAAACAUCUACUGUCUUUGCACAUAUAGCAUUGAAGAAGAAGCACAAUCGAGUUAUUGCAUACCUUGCAGGCUUCUCCAAACAGAACGAAUUGCCACAGGGAGCAAUUGUUGCAUCAAGGCAUGAAAAUUAUGAGAUUUAAGGCCAAGAAGUCUUGAAUAUUUUUAAGAUACAAGAUUUUUUUAUAUUUGAACAAUAACCUUCAGGGACUUUCAUACCAUAGAAAGAAUUGCAAACCGCUCUCUUAUCUGCUCUUGACAAAUUCUAGGGCCUUGGAGGCAAGCGAGUACGUCUUUCUCAAUACUCGGGUUGCAAAUCAUUUUUGACCCCCAUGUUCAAUAAAUCUAACCGAACAGCAAUCUCAUCUUUAUUUUUUCUAGGGAUCUCCAGCAAUGUACCAAUGAUACUAUCGCAAACAUUCUUCUCAAUAUGCAUAACAUCUUGGACAUGCCUCAUAGGAAGGUAUUUCAAAUACUCGAGAUCAAAGAAUUUUGAUUUCUUAUUCCAACAAACUCUGUCACCAUCAUUCUCAAAAACACUUCCCCCAUUUUUCGAGCCCCAUAUGUAAUUAAUAUCUUCAACCAUGUCCUAUUCAAGUUAAUGGUUCGGGAGGCGUGCCAUAUUCAAGUUUUCCAUUGAAAGCUGCACGCUACCUCCGACAUGGAUGAUUGAUUGGUAACCAUUUUUUAUGACCAAUGUAACAAAUUUUGGGGCCAUUUUCAACCUGUGACUAGGUGUAUCAUCGCCGCAUAUUGGACAAGCUUUAUAUCCUUUAACGACACUGUAACACCCCGACUCUAAAUUAAUCCCUUAUUUAAUUAUUUAAAGAAAAUUACAAAUUUACCCUUAAGAUAGGGGUAUUUUGGUCAUUUUCUUACCCGAAGAGAGUUUGGGGCAGUGACUAGUAUUUUUGGAUAGGUCGUACUGAGACGAGUUCAUAGACACGUAGUGGGCUCGAAUCGAAGUUGUAACGAGAGAGAUAUGGUCAAAAGAAACCCAAUUGCACAAUCAUAAUUAUUUCGAAAUGAGAUUUUUAUAAAAAUCAGAUUUUUUUUUCUCUCUCUCUCUCUCUCCUCGUCGGUCUCUCUCCCUCUCCUCGAAACUCCGGCCAUCGGCCACGGCUGUGGACGGGGCCGGUACCAAAAUGACCGAGGCGUUGUCCUCCUCUAAUCCCAGCUAGGUCCCGCCGUCAGCCGCCAUGGUUUCGCCGGAAAAUGGAGAAGAAGCGGCCGGCGUCGUCCGAAGUUCUCCGCCGUUGAUCUCCCUCUUCCGGUCACCGAUUCCGACGAGUGAGGUAUGGUUUCUCACCUACUUUUCAUGCUCUAGCUGCCUGCUGGGUAUGAUUGGAUUGAUUUUUAGCGUAGGCAAUUCGAUUUUCGCAUUGAAAUUCGGCUAAUUUUGGAAUCACGAUUCCGGCUAGUUCUGGUCAGUUUUUGGGGUAGAUCCAAGAACAAAAGUGGCUCCAAAUAGGGUGUUAUACCUAGGGUAGGAGUUUGGAGCCAUGGUUUUGAGAUUUUCCGGCGAUACGUAAUCGCUUUAGACACCCAACGCUGCCCGCACGUGUGGCAGUGCGUGGGCGAGGGUAGUGAAAUAGCACUAUGUCUCGAUGAGAUCCUUAGGUUGUCACGAGUGCGUAGGAUUUCGCGGAUCUCAAUUCGGACGUCGUUUGACUAUCGAACGGAUUUUCGUAUAUUGCGCGUCAUCCGGGUUCGAUAGGUUGGGACCGUUGGAUGGUCUCGAAUAAAAUAUAUGUUAAUCUAGGUAUUUCUAGGAUCAUGUAGGAAUUCACGGAUUAUAAAUCGGAGCCCCGGAUAUUCCGAAUAAAUAAUUUAAAGUUUAUGUUUUAUAAUAACCGUCACAUCGUGCGAUCGUGAGCGAUCCGACCGGCCGAUCUGGACCAAACUUACAGAACGAGUGUCCUAUACCUUGAAGAACCCAUAGGAAUUUUCAGAUCGAAAUUUGGAGGUCGUGGGCCCCGUGGGCCCAUUUGACUAGGGGUAGGGUAGUUUGACCCUUAGUUGACCGUGAGUCUCCCGGAGUAAUCUCACCUUUCCAGGGGGAUUAUCGGGUGCUAGACUGUUGUUGAGGUUUACACGAUAUUAGUAGUAAAUUAUAUAUUUAUAUACAUUUGUAAAGGUAAAAAAUAAGUCCAGAAUGUCAGUUUGAAGUGCUUUACGCACUACCUUAGGUACCUCCCCGGAUUUUAGUUACACUACAAGUACCACCCUAUGAAAGUUAGGUCCCACGUGGCGUAGGUUAUCCGGCGUGCGGACAGGCCCUAUACGUGGCAUUGGUAGUAUCGGUGUAUGGGGAGAUUACGUGAUAAUAUGUUGAGGUCACACGUGGCGUAGGUUAUCCGGCGUGUUGACAGACCCCAUACGUGGCGUUGGUUGUACCGGCGUAUGAGGAGAUAUUGUGAUAUGAUAUUCAGGUCUCGCGUGGCGUAGGUUAUCCAGCGUUGAGACAGACCCCAUACGUGGCGUUGGUUCUACCGGCGUAUAAGGAGUUUAUGUGAUAUUAUGUUGAAGUCGCGCGUGGCGUAGGUUAUCCGGUGUGUCGACAGACCCCAUACGUGGUGUUGGUUGUACCGGCGUAUGGGGAGAUAUGUGAUAUGAUGUGCAGGUCUCGCGUGGCGUAGGUUAUCCGGCGUUGAGACAGACCCCAUAUGUGGCGUUAGUUGUACCGGCGUAUGGGAAGAUAUUGUGAUAUGAUAUUCAGGUCUCGGGUGGCGUAGGUUAUCCGGCGUGUUGACAGGCCCCAUACGUGGCGUUGGUAGUACCGGUAUAUGGGGAGAUUAUGUGAAAUACAGAGAAAUGAAAUAAGGUAUUGCCUAUGUGUGGAAUUGGGUUUUAAGGAAGAACUACGUGUGGCUUGAUCCCUCAGGGAGGGUACGUAGGCAGCCUAAGGUUAUUAGGUGUAGCCGCGGACAUAGACGUGAUUGUGUUAGGAGGUUAAAACCUCGUAUGUUGAAAUUGAGAAAAUUAGAUGAUGUAUGUUGAAAUUUAGUAGUCGUAAUUUAUAUUUAAAUUUAUCGUUUGCCUUGUUUAAGGCAUGAAUUGAUUUGCUAGCAUGCUUGGUAGUUGAGAAUUAUAGAAAGGCCGAAGGCCGUUUAUGUGAAUUGCAUGGAAUUAUAUUGUGCAUGCUGCCAGUUGUAGUUAUUAAAUGUGUUUUUAUGCAGGUUGAAAUUUUGGGAAAUGUCCAAUUUACAGGGGAGACUCUGCCGAAAUUUCGGCAGAAAGUCUCGGUCUUUAGUAAGUGGGCCUGACAUCGAGGUGAUGUCGGGGAAUCCACAGGAUCCGCCUCGAUUUUUGGAAAAAUCGGGGCGGUUCCUUUCAGACACAACCAGAUAAGUUCUCAUAGGCAGAAAAAUCAUUAAUUGUUCACAGUAAUACACCUAUGAGUGUAAAGUAAUCUCCUAUGUGUGCAUCAUACACUCCUUUAAUCCCAUCCCACAAAGAUUUUAAAUCAUCAAUCAGAGGCUCUAAGUAGACAUCUAUAUCAUUUCCAUUCUAUUUAGGACCAGAAAUCAAUAAGGUCAAUAUCAUGAACUUCCAUUUCAUGCAUAGCCAUGGUGGGAGAUUAUAUGUAACUAAGAUAACCAACAAUUGUAUCUGCUACUUAAAGAACUGUGGGGAUUGAAUCCAUCAGAUGAGAGAGCCAAUCUCAAGUUUCUUGGCUCUUUACUGAACUCGGGCCAUUUAUCAUCAACAAGUUUUUAAGACGGGAAAUUCGCUGGAUGAGACAUAUGACCGUCAAUUGCUUUUCUAGCAACAUGCCAAGUCAAACUCUUAGCUGUCAUAUGUGAUUGAAACAUCCUUUUAAACCUUGGAAUUGGAGGAAAAUACCACACCACCUUCGCUGGCACACUCUUUUUCAAGAUUGAAUCUUUGCAUUCCUUCCACCUUGAGAUACCACAAGUAGGACAAUUAGUUGAAUCUUCAUAAUCAUUCCUAUACAAGAUGCAGUCAUUGGGACAUGCAUGGAUAUUCUCAUAACUCAUCCCUAAAGGAGAUAAUGUCUUUUUUGCCUCGUACAUAGAGGAAUAUAGUGUCUUUCCUUCUGGAAGCAAAUCUCCUUGAAGUAUCAAUAAUUCUAUAAAACAAACAUCACUCAUCCCAUGUUUUGCUUUCAAAUUAUAUAACUUCACCAAAGCCGACAACAUCGUGUACUUACUGCAACCAGGGUACAAGGAUUGAUCUCAAUCCCCAAUCACAUUGGCAAACUCAUAAGGAUCAAAUCCAAUAUCGCCUAAAUCAUUAUCAUCCAUCCCUACUUCUUUAGAAACAAAACUGAACCUACUUUGCUCAUCUUCUUCCACAUUUCUACUAGCAUUAGUAGUCAAUUCCCAAGGUUCUCCGUGCCAUGUGCAAAUCUGAUAGCUUUAGUCAAUUCCAUUAAAGUAUAAGUGGUCCCUCAUAAUUCCAACCCCAAACAAUCGAAUAUUCCCACAUUUAACACAUGGACAACGAAUAUGAGUUGUAUUUCCAAGAUUUUCUACAGCAAAAUUCAAAAAUCCUUCCACCCCUAACUCAUAUGCCUUCGGUCUUCUAUCCGCAUGCAUCCAUGACUUAUCCAUCUCACACACUAUAAAAUCAUAUAUAUAAUAAAGUGAAAAGACCAGCAAUGAAACACUACUUUAUUCACAUAGCAAAGAAUGAAUUGAAAAAAAAAAUUAACCAAGAAUCAGACGACGGUUUUUACAAAAAAAAUCGUCCUGUAACAGAGGGUCAGACGACGGCAUAUCUAGUUAUCGACGUCUUUAAGCUACCCAAACCCAGAUAUUUGUAUUGCUUUUUGAAGAACCGGGUUCUGGGUUCUGGUAAACAAAAGAUGACGGUAAAUGGAGAAACACCGACGUAUCCUAAAACUUGAGACGACGGUUUAUUUCACCAACCGUCGUCGUAGUUUACGAAAAACAGAAGUCUAAAUCUCCCAUCCUCAUUCCUUUUCUAAGAACCCUUAACAAAAUGCAAACAUCAAAAUAUAAAAGAGCCAUAUAUAGCUCCCAAUUAAGAAACCAAAGCUACCAAAACAUAUAUUAAUAAACCAAAGCUACCAAAAUGAACGAAAACAUUUAUGGGUUUUACAAACUAAGAGAAUAUUGAGAGAGAGCUGAGAGAAUAUACUUACAUGGAUAUUGAGAGAGAGCUGAGAGAAUAUAACAAAUGCUUGAGAGAGAGCUUAGAGAAUAUACACAAUGCUUUGAGAGAGAGCGAAAAAUUUAAGACAAAUUUAUGUUGAAGAGAGAGAAGGAAAUAUUUUAGGGUUAAAGGGAAAUUCUGAAAAUUUUAGAUCACCGUCAAAAUUUUCAAAGGACCGCGUUUUUCAAAGACGGCUAAGGAAAACUACCGCCAUUGUAAAUCAUUUUACUACGACGGUUGAGGAAAACUACCGCCAUUGUAAAUCAUUUUUAUGUCGCCUCUAUAAAAACCGACGUCUAAAAUAUUAAAUAAUUAGAUUUGGUUUGCAUUUCGUGGGAUUCUAACGUGCGUAAUUGACCAAAAAGAGCGAGAGAAAACCAGCGUCGUUUCUAUAAAACCUAAACCCUAAACCCUAAACCCUAAACUCUAAAACCUAAACACUGAAAAAAUUAACCAAAAAUUGCUAUGGACUCCUUACAACAAUGCCUUCUAUAUUAGUAGGCUAAAAUCGGGAUUAAAUAAUUUUGAAUUUUAUGACCACCAAUGGAUCACAUAAACCUUAGGGUUAUGUUUAUGGAAAGUAUAAGGAUUAUUGUGUUUUGUCUCUAAAUCUUUUUUACUUUUGUUAUCACUUGUAACUUUGAAAUCUAAAAUUAAAAUUUUCAGGCCUUUAGGGGGGAGAUAUUGUCUCAAUGUGUUUAUAGAAUUUGAGACUGCGAAGGUUCUAGCUGAUUGACUAAGGAUGAGGCAGGAUGGAUGGAAGGUUUGCUUGGAGAUUCUACCUUUGUCAGCUCUUCUGGUUGACAUGUUGUUUAUUCUGCCUGAGGAACUACUUCUAGAUUUUUCCCUUUUCUAGCAGAACUAGUCUCUGGAAGUACUUGUGUGUCAUCCUUAUUCUUGAGGAAGACGCAGUAUUGCCUUUGAACUCUCCUCUUUUGCAUUCUGGUUAGCUUCAGAGUUGGUCUUCGGCUUUUUCCAAUAGAAUAUCAUCUACCUUCUAUGAUAGUUGCAAAGGGCUUGUCAUUUCCAGGCAUCUUAACUGGUAUUUCCUUCUUUGGCUGCUCUAUUAUUCUCUUGUUGCGUUGGGCAGGCCUUAAAUAGUCCUUCUGUCUGGCUCUAUCUCUAGGUGGAGCCGGAACUAGGCCUUGUUGGUAUGAUGUUCCAAUCCUGUCAAAAACACAAGGUGUGGGCUGACUUUGCCUAACCAGAGUUACCUCUAACUCACUUUCACAUUUGCACCUGUUGCACAAAACUACCCCAGCCGAAAUGGUUGCUUUUGGUCUUCAAUUAGCCUAUCUUUGGACUCUUCUGCCUAUGCUGGGGCUAACUUUUGCUGUUAGUUUGCCUUUCUUUUGUUUUGGCCAAUUUAAGUUGACCAUGUUGACUUGAGGUUGGGGAAAAGGGUCUGUUGUUAUCGAAUGAGGUUUCUCAGCCAGUUUUAGCCUCCAUGCUGUUAUUCCUUCCUGUAUGACGUCCCUGAAAACAACACAACUAUUGGUGGAAUGGUCCCAGGAGUUAUGCCAUCUGCAAUACUGUCUGCCCUUGAGUUCCUCUAGCUUGGGCAACUUGUAGGGUGUUUCUAUUGCCUUCUGUCGCAGCAUGUCAUCAAACAGGGCAUCAACCUUGGUUAAAUCGAGGGAAUAGACUUUGUUAUGAGCUGGUUUGUUUGGAACAAACCCUCUUGUGAAUGGUGGUGGCUUUUGGUCCUUUGGUGGCUUUGUUAAAGCCUUGCAACUGAUGAGAUGUUUUAAUUUCCCCAUUUCUGCCACUGCAACUUCUCUCUCCUCCGAGCUUUCUAUGCCUUCUUCUGAUUCUACCUCAACAAGAUUUACUGAAGAGGAUGGGGUUUUGUAAUAUGUGCCUUUGAAAGAGUUCCUCUUCUAUUGUUCUUCCCUGAGCAGCUCCUUGUAUUUAGAUGCUUUGUCUGCUAGUUCUGCCAGAUCUCCAAACAGCAUCCCAUCAAAUUUUUUUCUCAGAGAGAUUUUAAGGGAGAUUUGAGCCAUUUGGAUGAAGUGCCCUUCCUCCAUAGGGAUUCAAAAUUUCAUUUUGAGCUUUUUGAACCUGGUUAUGAAGUCUUGGGCAGGCUCAUCUUCCCUCUAUUUCCAGGUUUGAGGGCAGCAAGAUCACUGAUGGUGACUUCUGGCUGAAUCCUAAAAUAGUAGUCAUGGAAGACAUUUUCCAUCUAUUUCCAGGUUUGAACAGAAUUGGCUGGUAAGCUAGUAUAUUAGAUGAAGGCUUGUCCAGAGAGAGAAUUUCGAAAAAGCCUUAGUUUUAACAGAAGGUUAUUUUCUAUGGCUAUGCACUGGAAAGAGAAUCUGCCUAUAUGCUUAACUGAUGAAGCAUGGGUGUCUUCUCCGUUGAACAAGGUGAAGUGUGGUACCUUAAAGCCCAGGGAUAGAGGUAUUUGAUCGAUAUAAGCUGGAUAAGGCUUUCUGUAGGUGGGCCUUUCUCCUCUUCUGGCCUCAGGUUCCAUCAUCUCUCUGAUCAUUCUAUAAAGUGCCCCCAUGUCAUUCAAAGCAUUGACAUGAUGCGGGGUUCGCCCCUGUUCUGGCUAGUUGUGUUCAAUCCUUUGUUCUACUUUAUAUGGCCUGGGCAGAACUUCCUCCCUAUGCUCUUCCUCUUUUUCGAAAUCUGGAUGAUUCCUUUAGUUUGCCCCCGGUCUGUUUUUGUCAUUGUUGGCAAAGGGUUUAACUCCUACUCUACCUCUCAUGCCACUUGCUAGUGGAGGGAAUGGAUUGGGGUCCAUCCUUCUAGGUCUGUAGGGCAACACAACUGGUUGCUCAGGCAGAAGUGCCAAGGCCUGAUCACGUGGGGCCACUAGUUGUGGAAUAGGUGGAGGUUCUGGCUAGUUCUGAGGGGGUCUGAACUGGUGCAGAGCCUUCUGGAUGAACUGAAUCCUCAUGUUCUUGGAUGGGAAGGGCUCCUCCCCUCUGUCCAGCUUGGAUUUCUCCAUGUCCUGGUAUUCCAGCUAUCUGUGUGAUGAGAGGCUUCUCUUCAUAUGGCCAUGCCAGUCCUGGUAGAGGUCCAAAAGGGAGAUCUAGCUGCUGGACCACCAUGUCUAGGUUUGGAAUUUUGGCAAUAGUAGCCUCACGGUCCUUCCUGAACUGCCUGUUGACUUGCCAUUACAUCAUGGUUGUCAUGUUGUUUAGAGUAUCUUGGCUCAUUUGUGCUGUGGCUUCUUGCCGAAACACAGCCUCCUGUAUCUAGUUUAACCUUCUGGAACCAGACAUGGAACGUCUACUCGUGGUACUGCCAUGGGCUGAUUACCUAGCAUCACUUUCUUUUGACUCAAGUCCUUUUCGGAGAGCUGCUUGAUCUCUUUUCAUGGCAUAGCGUGGAUUCUGGCUAGAACUUCCAAUAUUCAUAUACUAGAGGAUUUUUCUAGAAAUAUAUGUAUUGAGAAGUCCCACUGGGCGUGCCAAAUUGUUCAUCCGUUUUAGAUUUGUUCCUGUGAUGGUAGGGUAAAGUUCCUCAUUGACUUGAAAACCAUUGGUGGUCAAUAAGUCAACUUUCUUUUGUGUACAAAUGUGCCACUGCUAGCAAUAAAAACCCUAGCAGACUUCUUAAAAAUAGAAAACUUGUGCCCAAGUUAUUAACUUCUAAAUAAGCGAUUGUGAAUUUGGGCGAGGAAUAUCUCCCAAGUAAGUUCUUUUCUUUGCCUCAGAUUGGUGAGGACUUCACAAUUUUUCACAGUACAAAACUGGUAGUUCUAGCUAGAAUAAAUGAUAAGAAAGUGAACUGUUUUCAGGCAGAACUACCUUUUACAAAGCUUAAAAAGGAAGACCAACUCUAAAAAGACAAAAAGAGCUUUUGGACUUCAAUUUCUGCUUGGAUAAAUGCUUCUGAUCCGGGCUGGACUGGGUAUGUUUGUGCUGGACUGGACUAUCAACACCUUCAACUGUCAAGUUUUAGCUGUCAAUGAAUACCAAUGUUCGAGUGUGGCAAAGCUUCAAUCUAUUUCAAGCCGUGCAAGGCUUUUUGAACGGACAGAAUUGGAACCUCUUCAGUCUGGAAGGGGUAGAAGUGGCUGAAUUUGGUGAUUACUGAGCUGGAACUGCACUGUAGUACCUGUUCUGCUUGAUCAGGGCUCUCCAUAAAUUUGUUGAGGUUUUAAUAUUGGUAAAACCCGAAGCUUAUGUUGAACCAACUUUGUAACGAGAGAAAUCUUGCUUUGAAUGACUAUUUCUCUGAAACUAAACAGAAGUUAGAGAUUCUGGAAUAUAGCUGACUUGUUUCUUAUGGCUCAAUGAGCUUUUGGUUGCUUCAGUGUUUUGAAGGCUUUUGAGAUCAAGUGAUCAUUUUGAGUUUUUAUUUUUGAUUGAUUUUUUGGCUGUCCUUUUAUCUGUUCACCUCAUCUCAUAUUUAUAGAAUAUACUGGAGUGUGAUUUCUAAUCUUUUAAUAAUGGGCGGCAAAUCUUUUAAAAGAUCUUUUUUUCUUUUUUCAAUGUCAUAAGAGAAGGAAGCUACUAUUCUGACAGAGAAAGGUUGUCAACAAUCAUCUUUCAAUUUUUCUAUGUUCACUUUUUGUUCUUUGUAAAGAGAAAGAACACAAUCUACCAUGAUGGUCAGUGUGCUUUUCCUGUUGAACAACUCCCUCGUUCUCUACUUAUCUCUUGAAAACGUAGUCUGCUUAUCUCUUGGAAAGACCACCUGAUUUGGUGCAGAGCUUCUCUAUAUAUAUAUAUAUAUAAAGGGAUUUUGAUCUUCUUCUUUUGGCUGAAAAAAUAGAGAAGUCUUUCUGUAAGACCUGCCUUCAUUAAUUUUCUAUCAACUUCUCUGUAAUAGUUGAAAAUUUUGACUUUUCAAAGCCAGGUAUUCACGUGGGGUUGUUUAGAAAAGAUCUGUUGAUUUUGUCAAUCUUUUAGGGUAGAGAUUAAAUAGCGUAAAAAGGCUGGGCUAGUCUCUUUUUCUUAGUAGAUAAAAAGCCCAAAUAUUUUGUCUCACUGCCCUUUUCUGGAAAAUAAAUGGGCUGGGUGUGUUGGAAAUUGGCCCAAUCUUAAGAAAGACUCUGGUGGCUGCCCAAAAUUGACAUAGGCUUUUCUUGAUUUUGGGCUGGGCAUGCCAAAUUAGGCCCAAACAAUGCCCCUUAAGUCUGAAUUGUUUUUGGAAUAGUUUCAGACUUAAUGAUUUGGCCAUUAAUUUGUGCGCGCCAUUUCCUUCUGUUAGCCCACAUCUGCCACGUCUGCCUAUUAUGAUCAAGACUUCGUGGGAAAGUGGGCAGUUACUAGCUAGUUAUUAUCAGGUGGCGUCUUGUCUUCUUCUUCCCACGAUUUCGAGUCUUUCUAAGAAAUUUAAAAAGACCUCAGCUCCUGUUUACUCAAAACCUAACUUCUUCAGACCUUGAUUUUCCUCAGUUUUCUCAGAAUUUUUACCCUUUUCUGCGAUCAAACCCUGCUUCCUUUCAGUUUGAUUCCCCUAUCCUAGCUCAAAACCCGAAAAUGUCUUCUCCAAAAAAUCGUGCCCAGACUUCUUCUUAUUCUGUUCCUCCUACCUACAUUACUGGGGCCGGUGUUGAUAAGCAUGUGAUUGAAGUCCGGAGCAAGCUUCAUCCUUUUGCCCAGAACGUUCUGGACAAGAACGUGUUACAUUUGUUCGAGAACACUCUUGUUUUGGAGCCUCAUCGGUUUGGUUCUGUCCCGACUGAAAUGGCAGAAUUGUUUAAAGAAUAUACUGAAGCUCCUCUAUGCUUUCAGAGCUCUUUCGUAGAUUUCAGUUUUAUAUAUAAACUAUCGUGUUUCUCCCUAUAACAUGUCGUUUUUAAGAAUUGUUGUCAAUGUUUUAUUUCCUGCUACUAUAAGACGGCGAUUAUUUAUACAUAUGAGACGUGUAAAUUAGAAUGAGACGUCAGUCUUUGGGAUUUAAAUUAAGUUUUUACGAUUUAAUGUCAUUUUAGUUCAUAUAAGGACAUAAAUGUCCUAACCAAAAAUAUAUUUAUGUACAUUGUCAAUAAAUUAAAAUAAACCUAAACAUUGUUAAAAUAAAUUAGAUCACUUAUUAUUCUGUAAUUACUUGUUAACGAAUUCAGCCCAUUCCAACCUGACUUCGUCAAUAUGUUCUUAUACAUACUGAACUGGUUCCUUUUUCUUAUCAAACUGCAAAUAAAUAACAAAAACCAACGUGUUAUAAAGAUUACAACGACUGCUUUUAAAGAAAAAGUUGUGGUACUAAAAUAAAGAAUUUAUAUCUUAAGUUUUGCCUUUUACCUUCUUCUCAAAUGCUAGGCCUGGAUCAUGAAUUAUAUCUCUCAUGAAAUGCAUCACGUAAUAGCCACACUCUACAUUUGUUGGUUGUCGAGGAGUGCCAUGUAGAUUUUUCCAUAUGACUGAUUUACAUGAUGAUUAAUUGCCUGUGUGAGAGUUAUACAUUUUGAUUGAACUGUUUCAAGAAAAUGAAAAGUGUUAAUGAUAAAAAUAAAAAUCUAAAGCAAAAAUAUUAAACGUCGUGGUAAAUAAGUGAAGACGAUGGUUUUGUUAAAAAAGUGAUGUUGUAUUUCAUUUCAAACGUUGGUAAAUAAAAACCGUCGUUGUGUAGAAUUCUAACGUCGGUGACGAUGAAAAAUGACGUAUAACCAAAAAUUGUUUGUAAAUGAAAGUUGAACAGAAAAAAAUAAAACUUCCUUAAAUGAAAAACACAAACGACGUGGUAUUUCAAUUAAAAUGACGGUUUACAGAAAAUACUGACGUUGUAAAUGAUUUCAAACAUCGGUUUGAAGUUACCAUCGUGUUUUCAUUGUAACGUCGGUAUUAGAAAAAGCCGUAUAUCAUUCAAAUGCAAAUAAAAAAAUGUUAGAUUUUCAUAGAUAAACUUACAUAUUCACUAUAUUUCUCAUGUCCUCGUCAACAACGCGGUUUGGCAAUGAAUCCAUGUAAUAGAUAGUCUCCUUCGCUGGUCUCACAAUUAUUAACACCCAAUGACCCCUACACAUAAUGAUCCAUAUAGGUUAAAUAUACUAGAAAGAAAAAUAGGCAUCAAGUAUAGUUAAGGGGACUAACCUUGGAUUACAAGGCACCAUGUAAAAUUGAUCCCCAUUUGCGUUUUUCAGGCGGUCUGAGAGAUGUUUCAAACGGUAAGAUAACGUUCCAGAUUGAGAGCUGACUUGUCCAAGGUCCACGAAGCCAAUAAGGUUUACCAUAUUUUCUAUUUUUAAAUAGUCAAAUAGGCACCUAAAUAUAUGAAAUUCAAUUAAAUGAGAUUUUAACUUUAAAGAAAGGAAAUGUAUAAUGCAAUCACUGUGGAUCCAAUCUCAACCAUGGAAGGAAAUUGUAAAAUAUCUUCACACAAGAGGAAGGUAUCAUGGUUAAUGCCAAAGGCUUCCUCUGGAAUGUGAAUUCUAAUGGUCUCGUUAAUGGGCUUCAACUUGGUCUCGACAAAUUGAAAUAAGGCUAACAGAGGAGGUGGCAUGUCUAGCUUUGAGAGAUCCUGUUACAACAAAUAAAUAAAGAAAUAUAAGUUAGUUUGUACACUAAGUAAAAUAAACGACUCUAACUAAACCAAUCAAACCGACGUGGUAUAUAAUAUAAUCGACAGUUUCUAGAACAUACUGAAGGAGUAAAGGUUAUAGACGACGGUAAAGACAUAACCAUCGUUAUGUAAAUGUUCUAACGUCGCUGCAUUAUGGAAAGGUCGUCUAAUUAAAAUGCAGUGAAGCCUUUAUUGAAAUACACGACAGUUUAUAAAAUAAACACCGACGUAGUAAAAUACUGAGACGACGGUUAUCAGCAACGUCUAUUUGAAAUUAUAAAUCAGAAAAAAUCAAAUAUCAAAGAUUUUACCGUUUCAUCUUGCCAUUGUUUAGCAACAUCAGCAUCAUUCGUGGGAUUUUCUUCCUCCAAAACAAGGGGUCUCACAUUAGAGCAGCUUGCUUUGUCAGACAUUAGAUUUUUUGGAGUAAUUGGAGUUUUAUUGAGCAAGUUGGGAUCACAGUUGGGAAUUAGUUGACUGAAUUGUUUCAAUAAAAUUUCCCUCUCUGCUCUGACUGCCUCCAAAACAGUUUCUUUUGCCUUAGCUUUAAUCUUUUUGGUUUCUUCUCUCACUGCCUCCAUAACACUUUCCUUCAAUUUGUUAGCAAAUUUUACUCUCUGCUGUCUCGACAAAUUGAAGAAUUGAGUUGGGGAAACCCCAGCUCCAACACCUCUAACUCUCCCACCAUGCUCAGGGGUUCCCAAAGCCAAGGUCAAAAUAUCGUUGCUCUCAGAGACAGCAGAGUGCCCUCGGAAACUUGUUUUUUCAAAUCAUCCUAAAAGUGAGAGAGAGAGAGAGAGAAUGUUAGUGAGUGAACAGAUAGUAAAACAGAUUAAAUAAACAACUAUACAAAAAUAUUAACCGACGUGGUAAAGACUUUAAAAAACUGAAAUCAAUCCCCAAUAGUAACAGGGACCAUGCAGCAACGAUUUGGUUGACAGUAGUAUAGGUUGGAGAUGCUGUUGAUCAUUAGAUACUAUUUUUUUAAAUAUCAAUUCUGUAACAUCCAGACCUAAAAAAUUAAUGAUUUUGAUUUAAAAUUAAAUUUAAAUAAGCAAUUACGAAUUUACCCUUGGGGAAGGGGUAUUUUGGUAUUUUUUUUUUAUUCAGAAAGAGUUUGGGGCAGUGACUAGUAUUUUUGGGUAGAUCGUACUGAGACGAAUCCGUAGACACGCGGUAGGCCUGAAUCGGAGUUGUAACGAAGAAACGGUGACCAAAAUUAGUCCAGUGGCAAACUUGUAAAUAUUUUGAACUUGGGUGUAGAAAAAUCUGAAACUGGCUUCCUCUCUCCUGCGUGCACACGUCCUUCUCUCUCUCUCCUCUCUCUCUCCUCGAUACCAUCACUCUCUGUCUCUCUCUUCGAUUCUCUCAAUUCUGGCCACGGCAAGGGCCGGGACUGGUUCCGAUCAACUCCUCACAAAGCCCCGAACCAGAACCACCACUUUUCUUGGCCGGAAAGCUCGAGUUUCGCGUGGUAAUCUCGACUGGUUUGAACCAGUUUUCCUCCGUCAUUGUGCCGCCGCCAUCGCAGCCCAAUCUCGGUUAAACAAGUGAGGUUUCUUACUCUUUUUCCGAGCUCUAGCUGCCUGUUGGGUAGGAUUGGAUUGAUUUUUUGUCUAGGAUCCCGAUUUUGAAACCUAAGUUUUGACGAAUUUCAAAGUGAAAUUCCGGCCGGUUGCCGUCCUAAUUAGACCUCCCCGUAGUUGAAUAAAGUGAUCCUCGCUUCGAGUAGUAGCUAAGGUAGGAAUGGUGAAUUGCGGUGUGGAGUUUUUCCAUCACUGAAAAUUACUCUACACAUCCACGCGUUGCCAGGGCAUGUGGAGGCGCAUGGGCAAUGUGGUGAGACCACAUUUUAUCCUGAUGUAGUCUCCUAGUCCUCACGUGCGCGUAAGUGUGCUCGAAUUUCAAUUCGAAUGUUGUUUGACUAUCGAACGGAUUUAUGCAUAUUGUUUCUUAUCCGGGUUCAAUAUGUUCGGACCAUUGGAUCGAGUCCAAAUUUACGUAUGUUAAUCUAGGCACCCCUAGGAUCAUGUGCGAAUUCGCGGAUCGUGAAUCGGAGCCCCGAAUGUUCCGAUUCAAUAAUUUGAAGUUUAUGGUUUGCGAUAACCGUCAAUUUCUGACCAAACCUACAGGACGUGUUUCCUAAACCCGUAGUCGGACCUUAGAAUACUCGUUAUGCGUGCACGCACCGGGAACUUGAGAAAAUUAGUAUUUAAUUUGUAAAUUCCGUUUUGAAGUGAUUUUUUAUUAAUUAAGGGUGCGUAUCUCGAAAUAGGUGCUCCAUCACUAGCACGCAGCAGGUAGGACCCUCUUGAGGUCAGGCAGUGUGGGACUACUUGUGAGUGGACAUUUAUUUUAUAUAUGCAUUAUUUUCAAUGAUUGAAAGAAUAUGCAUGAAAUAUAUAUAUUUUUUGGAAUAAAGAUUGAGAAAUUCAUAUGUUGUUAUAUCAGUAUUAUUUAAUUUAGAAUUUGGUUUGAUUUGAUGAUGAGUUAUAUAAAGGUCAAGUUAUUCGUGAUUAAGUCUUGGAUGAAUUUUGGGGGAAUCGGGAAUUGAAUAUUAUGGUUUAUGGUGGGAACUUAUAUGAUUACACUGUGUGGAGUACCAUCCCCUAGUUACUAGGCUUCCCACAUGUGGCGUUGGAAAUUUUCCAGCGUGUGAUGAUGUAGUCUGCACGCAUAGGACUUAGUAUUGGAGCUACACGUGGCGUUGGAAUUUCCGGCAUGUAAGCUAUGGAGUUUCGUCCCCCGGUUGGACCGCUCAUCCCUAGACGCAGGAUAGCAACUGAAAAUCUUGCGGGUUAGCCAAACAAUCCCCCGGUUGGAUUGUUUCCCCGGUACCUAAGUAGUGUGAUAAAUAUUAUGUAUAUUUAUAGAUAUAUAUAUUUCUAUGUGUGUGUGUGUGUGUGUGUGUGUGUGUGUGUGAGUAUAAAUCAGUUAAAGUAUAUGUAGUGGUUGGGUAAGAGCAGUAUAAAUUUUGGGGAUAAAGUUUAUGGAUAGAGUGAUUGAUCUCAAAGGGUUUCGGAGAAUGAUGUUUUUGAUCAUUAAAUAAAAGUUAUGAAUCUGCAUGUCUUGAGCAUUAUUUUUAGACGGUGGGGUUAUUAUGUUGUUUUGAAUGCAAAUUUUGUUUUUCCACUCACAUGUUUUCUGUUUUGCGCCCCCCAAACAGUAGUCGCUCAAGGGAGAGUUGCAAGCCAUGUUCGAGGCCCCGAACUGUGAACAUCAGUAGAUUAGGUUUCGAGUAAUUUCUUUCUACUCAACUGGAUGUUCUUGUAAACUAAAUUCGUUAGAUGCUCUAUUAUUGCCCCUGUUAGGUUUUACUUGUGAGGCCAGAGGCCAUUUAGUUUAUACUGUUGAAUAAUAAAUGCAUGCUGCUGGUUGGGAUUAUAUUGUGCUUAUGCAGGUUGAAAUUUUUGGGAUUGUUCAAUUUACAUGGGAGACUCUAGCAAAAUUUUAGUAGAGAGUCUCGGUUUUUAAUAAGUGGGCCAGGCAUCGGGGUAAUGUCGGAAAUAAGACUGGAUUCGUCCCGGUUUCCGAAGAAUUCGAGGCGGGUCCUGUCAAGUUCCUCCUAUUAACAAUAAUAAAUUAAAUAUUUAUAUAACUGAUAACAGUUCCUCAUAUUAACAAUAAUAAAUUAGUAUUUUGUAUAAUAAACAUGUUUAAUGAAAUUCAUCUUCUUCUAGCAUGUUUAUUUAAAUUCUAAGUUUUCUGAAGAAAAAAAAAAAAAAAAAGGAGAAGGAAAUGUCCUAAAUUAAAUCUUAAAAGUUCAUUUUUUUCUGUCCCUAUAUAUUUUUUACCCAAUUAUAAUUUGAGAAAAAAAGGUGAAUUAACUGUCAUUUCACCUUCAUCAUUUUCAUGAUUUAUAUAAGAUUCUUCAAAGAUCAUUUCCACAAAAAAUUACUUAAAUUCGAAUCCAUUUAACCGUCUAAUUAAAUCGUUAGGACCGUUGAAAUAAAAUUUAAAGUGAGUUUAAAGUGAGUCCUACUAUGUCUCCCUCAAAUAAGAUCAUUUACAGGAUCUGUCGAGUCAUAUGAGAAUGUUUAGCUUUUCGAUCCCAAGAGUUUGGUUCGAUUUUCAUAUAUAUAUAUAUAUAUAUAUAUAUAUAUACAAGUCAAUUUACUUUAAAAAGUUCACCAAAUUUUAUUUUUGGUCUCGGUAGUUUGCUUGAGGGCCUUUUUCUGUCAAUCUAUUUGUUGUGAUUGAAAGAUUUUAUAUAAAACAAAAGAUAUGUUUUUAUCUUAAAAAAUGCUUAUUUUCAGAUCUUUACAUAUAGACAUACAUAUGGCCUGAGAAUUCAAGCAAUAAAGACAUAAGCUGAUGAGCAUUCAUAAUCAUUAGAAUGAGUACUGAAUGGUCAACUCUUUCAAAAUACUUCGGAAAAAAACAAAGGACAAUACUUCCUUCCUUACUCAUAAGAAGGAACUCCUUCUCACCUUCUAUUGUCCCUCAACCACAAAGUAACAAGUGUUCUCUUUUUUUAAUUGUCAAUUUUUUUUUUUUCACUUUUACUGAACCCCUAGCUUUUUACCAAAGCAAAAAACACAAAACAAUAUUCCCAUUGUUUUUUUUUUUCAUUUUGAUUUUUUUCUCAACUUUUUGAAAAAUAACAUUUUUCCUUCUUCAGUAAAAAAUUGAAGUCUUUGUGGUUAAAAGCUAAGGUUUCAGUAAAGGUUUAAAAUAAAUAAAAAGUUUUGACAAUUCAAAAAACAGAACACAUAUCACUUUGUGGUUGAGCCGCAAUAGAAAGUAAGAAAGAAUUCCACCUUACCCAUAAGGAGGGAAGUAUUGUCAAAAAGAAAACAUCUUAAAAAACACACAGAAAACCCACCAUCACUACUUAAAAGAAGUAGAGAAGUCCAACAUUCUGAUUUUUAUACACCUACGUGACGUGAGCAUUCAAUAAUCAUCCUACACAUAUGUUGAUGUGAGCAUUCAAAAUCAUUAGAAUGAUUUAAUUGAAGACUCAACGUACGGACGUCUUUUUCACUUAGAUUCCCUUCCUGUACAAACUUGAAUCAGUUCCUCCACGACCCCAUCAAUCUCUUCAUCCUCUUUCUUGUUCACGUUGUCGCUUAUUUUCAAUGCCUUUUUUCUCACUCCCUCUCCAAAUUUCUCCACAACCACAUCUCUAAUCACCUUUGCGACCUCUUCUCUUUGCAAACUUCCUUCACCUGUUCUCUUAACCUCCACACCAACACCCACCUCCUCCACUAGUCUAGCGUUGAUCGGCUGGUCAAGAUGCAUAGGCAUGGCUAUAAUUGGAACACCAAACUUGAUGCUCUCCAACACUGAGUUCCAUCCGCAGUGACUCACAAACCCCCCAACACUAGAAUGCUGCAGUAUCUUUGCCUGUGGGGCCCAACCCUCCAUUAUCACUCCCUUCUCUCCCACCCUCUGUAAAAACCCUUCUGGUAACACCUCUUCAACCCUAGUACUUCUCUCCUCCUUAGAAAAUCUUAUAACCCAAAUGAAGCUCACUUUGCUAAGCUCUAAUCCGUGAGCUAUCUCUUCUAUUUGCUCCUUGGACAGAAAGUACUCACUGCCAAAGCAAACAUACACAACAGAAGACCUUUCCAUUUUGUUCAGCCAUUUCAUGAUCCAUGUUUCCUCAUCAACUUUUUGAUCCAUUGGCUCUUGAACAAGCGUGCCAACAGGCACGAUCUUCUUCCCCGUUAAAUCAGAGAGAUAAUCAAUAUAUUUUUCUUCAAUCUCGCUGGAUGUCUUGACCAAAAUGAUGUUACAAGAUCGAGCACUGCAUUGCUGAACACGGUCUCCGUCUUUGAUGCCAUUUGCUGAAGAUUCCAACAAAUUGUUGAACUUUUCAGCUUCGUAAUGUUGAAGAUAAAUCGAAGGAAAAGGAAACUUGACACUAGGGUUCUUGAGAUGUUGAAUACUAAAUGAAGUAAAGGCAGCACCCAUGGUGGUGAAUUCAAUGGAUGGAAAAUUUUGCAAUGAAGCUAGAGAGGGCGCCCAUGGUUGAAGAACAUCAUAUAUGAGCAAAUCUGGACUUAGGGUUUUGAGGAUGUUGGAGAAGUUGUUGCUGGACAUGCUGAAAGCCGUUUUGAGAGUGGACAUGAGAUGGGGAGGGAGGCCAUUGGUGGUGUGGUAGUGCGGUGGGAGUUCAGGCAAGUCAUCAUGUGGAAGAUGGAGUUCCACAAAUUCAAUGCAAUGAGAAUAUUUUUGGGAGAGUUUAGGCUUGAUGGAGCUGAGAUUUACAGGCGUGGAACAAAUAAAGAUGUGAAAAUUUCUCUUGGUGGUCAGCUUCUUGGCUAGCUCUAGGUAGGGAGAUAUAUGGCCGUGAGCUAGCCAUGGAAGCAAAAGAAUAGUAAGGCUUCUUUGGUCAGAGAAAACCAUAUUUUGUUUUCCUUUGACUUGUUUUCCUUUGACUCUUUUGCUUGAGGUUGCUCGAUUAUAGGCUUAUUGGUAGUUUGUUUGUGGCUAGCUCUAUGCAUAUAUAUAUAUAUAUAUAUAUAUAUAUAUAUAUAUAUAUACACACACAAAAACGCGUGAUGAUUGGAACAUGCACACGUAAGUUCCAGAGAGUGAUGAUUGGCCUAUGAUAAAGACUCGAAACAAGAAUAGUUUAAAUUUUCUUCUUUGUUUGGCUUGAUAUAAGACGAAUGCACCAAACAAACCGACUAAAUGCCGACACAAUAAUUAGGUACGUAAUAAUAUCAACUUUCAUUAUAUAGAUCUGAGAAACAAAAAGUUGAACUUUGAUGACAAGCGAUAUUAAGGAAGGGCACAAUCGAACUUAGGAUCUCGAAUGUUGAAGUACAUGCUCUUAACAACUUGAGCUAUAAGGUAUUUGUAAUGACAAUUUAUGGUUUUAAUUAUACUUUUGAAUAGUUGCUUCCUUCUCUUUCAUUUUUAUUUUUAUUUGUUUAUAUUUAACUCUAAUUUUAUUUAUAUUUCUGGUCAAGGUAUAAAGACUUUGAAUCUCUCUCCAAUUAUUUUUCACAGCCGAAACUCCUUUAGUUUCCACAAAUCUUUUUAAACAUUUCAGGCAUAUGUAUGUUUCCGAGUCGGAUGGUUCACGUAACCAAGAAAUUUAAACUUGUUUUUGUUUGUUCCUCCGAAGAAAGCACAACAAAAGGACAACCUACAACCAAUACUUCUCAUUGAAUUUGUUGCCGUGAAUGAUUAGGACUCUGCCCAAACUAGUAGUUGCGUUUCUGAAUUGUUUGAAAACACAUAUCAAAUUAUGAUUUCUCCUCCCCGAAAGAAAAAUUGACGUAGAAGUAUCAUGAUCUUGAUGACACAAAUUAGAAUCUAGGGUUUUCGAAGUGCCUAAUGGACAACUACUUAUUUAGAAAUAUAUAUAUUUUUGUGGCUAAAAUUUAAAUUUAUUAUAUAUAUUCUCAAUGCAGAAACACAUAAAUCUAAGUUCGAAUUCAUCCUUUUUUUGUUUUUUUUUUUUUGUUUUUUUAACCCAGAAGAAAAAUUGAGUCCCACUCUGCUGUGUAGAAUGCGCGUUUAGUAUAGAUUUUUUUAUUUUUGAGUCUCUUAUCUGGUUCCCGAGCUUCUACAUUUAGGUCUCGUGUAUUUAUCUGCAUUUUCUUAAAUCUAAAUCACUCAAACAAUCUAACCACUUAACAAAUGACACGUACUCAAACUUAAAAUCAGAAUGGAUGGAGUAGAGGCUUACACCGAUGAUUCUUGGUCAAGACUUGAGAGACAGAUGGAGACGAGGCAUGACAUAAAGUCUGAAGAAGAGAAACGAGGAAGCUUCAUUUAGAUGGUGGUGUAAGUGCAUACGUAAAGUCCAGAUUCAACAGGAAAGCAUCUUAAACGUAAAGAAAAUAAGUUUACCAGAAGCAAAAGAGAUACUGAAGUAAUUGUUUAUCAACUGAACUUAAACGAAAUAUUAACUCUUUGUUGUGCCAUAAGCACAAGAUCUUAUGAAAAAAAAUUCAAGAUAAACCAUAUAAUAUUGGGAGAUUCACGUUUAUACCGAAUAUAGGAAUUCAAAUUAUAAAAUAAAUAAAUAAAUAAAAUAAUCGAUAUGAAAUGGACUUUAGAAACACACACAAAGCCUAUUUACAACAUAACAAAAAGGUUUUUCCCUUCUUUUAAAUUACAAAACUGCCAUUGAUUUCUUAAAACAAACCCAACUCCAAAACCUCAUUAAAAAAGCACAAAACACUCAAUAGGGUGUCAAAGUAAUUUAAUAAUAAAAAAUAAAUUCAAUAAGGCCAAUUGAAUUUUUUGGAUUUUUUUUUGGGUUUGUUUAUAGAAAUUAAUGGUGUAGGGUUUAUCUAUAUUAUUGGUGUUAAGAAUGAAUAAUGACUAAAUAUCUCUAUAAUAUUUUCUAACUCACAAAAUAAUAUAGAAAAUAAAUGCAAGAACAAGAAAAUAGCAAUAUGCAAUUUAACGAAGCUGCUUACAAUCAGUGCAAAUGAGCAAACAAAUUCGCUAUUAAUUUAUGAAGUGUUUUUGUAUUUACAAUACCGCCUCUUGAAUGUCCACCAUACAAUAAUAUAGUUGCAUCAUUAAAAACUUUACUUGAAAAAUCGUUUGGGACAAAACUUAAGCUAAGAGAAAAAGAGUGCAACACAAAUGAUAUUGACAUCACAUAUGUCUCUCCUACAGAGUGAGCUUUGGUGAUGCUUGUAUAAAAAUUGCUUUCACAUCAUUAUUGGGAGAUGUAUGUAUGUCAUCAAUCAUUUGAAUCUUGUUGAGGUUAAAGUAAAACCAAAAAAAUAUCAAGGGCCAUUUUCAUAUAGUUUUUCACAAUAAAAAUUAACAAAAUAACUUCAUGUUCUUUAAUAUCAUCAAAAAAAUAAUAUAAACAAACUCAUAGUUUACCUUUUCAAUGAUAAGUGUUUGGAAAAUUUACAUGGAAUAAUAUUUGGUAUGCUAUGCUAGCAUCUCAUAAGCUCUUCAAGAGACCUAAAUUUUAUGAUAACUUCUUAAAAAAAUUUGAAUACUUUUCAACAAUAUUAAACUUGAAUUCAAACUCAUAAUUCAAUCAAAGUACUCAUUGAGGCAAUUUAGAUCAUUUUCAUUUUAAGAAAAUUGGGUGCAUACAUUGAGCUUCAUGCCCUUUACCUUCUUAGAGAUUUUCUUCGAGCAAUUUAUAUUGCAUGACAGAUUAUAUCUCUUAGAAUUUGUUCUUAUGUAUUCUUCAAGAGAUCUCUUCUUGCAAUAUGCUUCAAACACUUCAUAAUCUUUAUAGAUUUUUCAUGUAGAUUUAAGGUCUCCAUGAAUAUUGAGAUUGAAACAAGGAGUAAAAUAAAAGUUUAAGAAAAAUUUUCCCUGAUUAUUUUGUAAUUAUAAUGUUGGUGAAAACCUAAUUUCCUUUCUGAAAUUUGUGAAAUUUGUUAUUUGGCUAAGCUAAAAGUAUAAUAUUGACAAUAAAACGUAUACGAAAGUUUCUCUUUGGCUGGCUUCUUGGCUGGCUCUAGGAAGGGACAUUGCGGCCAUGAGAUAACCAUAGGAAGCAUAAUAAGAAUGCUUGGAUGCUCUGAACAAUCCAUUUUCUGACUCUUUUUCUUGAGGCGGUUGUUUUCUUAGGCCCAUCAGAGUUUAUGGUCGACAGAUAAGCUUCAAACACAUGCAUUGGUCGUGUCAGUUGCGAUAAACUCUUCCCAACAAUCUGAGACUCACAUCACUCCAAACACAUAAAAAGAAGUGGAAAUUUGCUAUUCUUUGUCUUUGUUUGGACAGCUAAUAGCAAAGCAUUGGAAACAUCGAAAAAAGAAAGUUAAUUAAUUUAAGAAAAACAAAGAAAUCCUUCUUUUUUUUUCUUUUUUUUUUCAGCAAACCGAAACAUAAAAUCCGAAAAAGAAGAAGGCAUGUCCAAAAUUACAUCUUGAAUUUAUUUUGGAGAUUCACUAUUAUACUCAAAUUAUAUAUGAAAUAAAUUUUAGAAACACACAUGACGCCAAUUUACAAUAUAACAAAAAAACUUUUAACUUCUUGUAAAUUACAAAAUUGUUAUCGAUUUCUUAAAACAAGCCUAAUCCUAAAACCUCAUAAAAAAAAAAUCAAAACACUCAAUAAGGCAUCAAAGUAAUUUAAUAAUUAAAAUUAAAUUUAAUAGGGUCAUCUGUCAUUUUUUGGAUUUUUUUCGAAGUUGUUUAUAAAAAUUAAAAUAAUGUAUAGUUUGUUUAUAAAAAUUAAAUGAUGUAGAGUUUCUUUAUAUAAUUAAUGUUAAUAAUGAGUAUAUGAAUAAAUGUCACUUUUCUUUAUUAACCAUUUAUAAUAUAUGAACUCAAGACUUCCUAUCGAACACCGAAUGGUCUUUCCAUUCCUUGUUAAUUCAAAGUCUGAAAAUGUUCGGUGUCAGCUCAUGAAUUUAAAGGCUUAAAGGCUCAAAACUUGAACGAAUAUGAAAGAAAAAAGUCGUUCACCGUUCAUCCUCUUCCUGCAGCUGUGCAUGCUAAUCACCCACUGAAUUAAACAUACAAAUACGCUUUAUGUUUUCUCAAAUUGUUCUUUGAACUAAGUAGAGGUUGGAAUACACUCGGGGUCAACAUUGUUCAAAUACAAAACACUUCUUAAUUUUAUAUUUUAUCAAAACAGAUCGAAACUUCAUUCAAACUGAGAACCUAGAUUACAAAACUACCAGAAAAACUGGAAUCUGCACUGUGGCCUCAUUAAAACCUUGCUUUAAAAAACUCCUAAAAGAGGAGAAUUCAGUCAAGAAAAAAGAGUACCACAGCAAGUGAAAUCCGAUAUCAUACUUCAUUCCUUUCUCAUACAAAGUUGAAUCAACUGCUCUACCACCCCAUCUAUCUCUUCAUCCUCUCUCUUUUUCAUGUUGUCUCUCAAUUCCAUUGCCUUUCUUUUCAAACCCUGUCCAUUUUCUUCCACCACCACAUCUCUGAUUACUUUUGCUAUCUCGUCCCUUUUCAGCCUCCCGUUCUCGUUGCCGCCUCCUCCCAUUCUCUUAACCUCCACACCAACUCCAACGUCCUCUACUAUUCUAGCGUUAAUAGGCUGGUCAAGAUGCAUAGGCAUGGCUACAAUUGGAACGCCAAACUUGAUGCUCUCCAACACUGAGCUCCAUCCACAGUGGCUCACAAACCCACCAGCACUAGAAUGCUUCAAUACUUUUGCCUGUGGAGCCCAACCAUCCACUAUUAUUCCCUUCUCCCCCACCCUCUCAAAAAACCCUUCUGGUAAUACCUCUUCAACCCUAGUACCUUUCUCUUCCUUAGGAAAUCUUAUAACCCAAAUAAAACUCACUUUGCUAAUCUCUAGCCCAUGAGCUAUCUCUUCUAUUUCCUCCUUGGAUAAAAAGUACUCACUGCCGAAGGAAACAUACACCACCGAAGAUCUUUCUCUAGUGUUUAGCCACUUCAUGAUUUUUGUUUCCUCCGAAUCCACUUCUUGCUCUAUAAGGUCUUGAACAAGUGAACCAACAGGCACAAUCUUCUUCCCAAUUAGAUCAGAGAGAUAAUCAAUAUAUUUUGCUUCAAUCUCUCUAGAACUCUUAACUAAUACGAUCUUACAAGAACGAUCGCUGCACUGCUUAGCACGGUCUCCAUCACUGAUGCCAUUUGAUGAAGAUUCUAACAACAUCUUGAUCUUACUAGUCUCGUAAUAGAUUGAAGGAAACGGAAAUUUGACACCAGGUUUCUCGCCAUGGUGGGUACAAACUGACAUCAUGGCAGCACUGGUUGUGAAGAACUCGAUGGCUGGAAUGUUUUGUAACAAAGCUAGAGAGGGUGCCCAUGGUUGAAGAAAAUCAUAAAUUAGCAAAUCCGGGUGUAGGGUUUUGAGGAUGUUGGAGAAGUUAGGGCUUGCCCUGUCGAAGGCGGUUUUGAGAGUGGACAUGAGGUGGGGUGGGAGGCCAUUGGUAGUGUGGUAAUGAGGUGGGAGUUCAGGCAAGUCGUCAUAUGGAAGAUGUAGUUGCACGAGUUCAAUGCAACGAGAGUAUUUUUCAGAGAGUUGUGGCUUGAUGGAUCUGAGAUUUACAGGUGUGGAACAAAAAUAGAUGUGAAAAUUUCUGUUGGUCAGCUUCUUUGCUAGCUCUAGGUAGGGAGAUAUGUG
This 39269-nucleotide long non-coding RNA is filed under the name Prunus persica (peach). RNAcentral describes it as "long non-coding RNA (PPER_LNC002427)". Lineage: Eukaryota; Viridiplantae; Streptophyta; Magnoliopsida; Rosales; Rosaceae. The record is from RNAcentral.